This 253-nucleotide ribosomal RNA is filed under the name uncultured bacterium. RNAcentral describes it as "partial 16S ribosomal RNA". It matches the Rfam family "Bacterial small subunit ribosomal RNA", at positions 524 to 776 of the family's 1533-position model. The record is from RNAcentral.
UACAGAGGUCCCAAGCGUUGUUCGGAUUCACUGGGCGUAAAGGGUGCGUAGGUGGUGAGGUAAGUCGGAUGGGAAAUCUCCGGGCUCAACCCGGAAAUGGCAUUGGAAACUACCUUGCUGGAGGAUUUGAGGGGGGAUUGGAAUACCUGGUGUAGCAGUGAAAUUCGUAGAUAUCGGGAGGAACACCGGUGGCGAAGGCGGCGACCUGGGUCGACACUGACGCUGAGGCGCGAAAGCGUGGGGAGCAAACAGG